This 882-nucleotide ribosomal RNA is filed under the name Bacillus sp. (in: firmicutes). Its description in RNAcentral is "bacterial SSU rRNA". It matches the Rfam family "Bacterial small subunit ribosomal RNA", at positions 71 to 936 of the family's 1533-position model. Lineage: Bacteria; Bacillati; Bacillota; Bacilli; Caryophanales; Bacillaceae. The record is from RNAcentral.
GAAGGGAGCUUGCUCCCGGAUGUUAGCGGCGGACGGGUGAGUAACACGUGGGUAACCUGCCUGUAAGACUGGGAUAACUCCGGGAAACCGGAGCUAAUACCGGAUAGUUCCUUGAACCGCAUGGUUCAAGGAUGAAAGACGGUUUCGGCUGUCACUUACAGAUGGACCCGCGGCGCAUUAGCUAGUUGGUGAGGUAACGGCUCACCAAGGCGACGAUGCGUAGCCGACCUGAGAGGGUGAUCGGCCACACUGGGACUGAGACACGGCCCAGACUCCUACGGGAGGCAGCAGUAGGGAAUCUUCCGCAAUGGACGAAAGUCUGACGGAGCAACGCCGCGUGAGUGAUGAAGGUUUUCGGAUCGUAAAGCUCUGUUGUUAGGGAAGAACAAGUGCAAGAGUAACUGCUUGCACCUUGACGGUACCUAACCAGAAAGCCACGGCUAACUACGUGCCAGCAGCCGCGGUAAUACGUAGGUGGCAAGCGUUGUCCGGAAUUAUUGGGCGUAAAGGGCUCGCAGGCGGUUUCUUAAGUCUGAUGUGAAAGCCCCCGGCUCAACCGGGGAGGGUCAUUGGAAACUGGGAAACUUGAGUGCAGAAGAGGAGAGUGGAAUUCCACGUGUAGCGGUGAAAUGCGUAGAGAUGUGGAGGAACACCAGUGGCGAAGGCGACUCUCUGGUCUGUAACUGACGCUGAGGAGCGAAAGCGUGGGGAGCGAACAGGAUUAGAUACCCUGGUAGUCCACGCCGUAAACGAUGAGUGCUAAGUGUUAAGGGGGUUUCCGCCCCUUAGUGCUGCAGCUAACGCAUUAAGCACUCCGCCUGGGGAGUACGGUCGCAAGACUGAAACUCAAAGGAAUUGACGGGGGCCCGCACAAGCGGUGGA